UACGAAGGGGGCUAGCGUUGUUCGGAAUCACUGGGCGUAAAGGGCGCGUAGGCGGCUUUGUAAGUCGGGGGUGAAAGCCUGUGGCUCAACCACAGAAUUGCCUUCGAUACUGUAGAGCUUGAGACCGGAAGAGGUAAGUGGAACUGCGAGUGUAGAGGUGAAAUUCGUAGAUAUUCGCAAGAACGCCAGUGGCGAAGGCGGCUUACUGGUCCGGUUCUGACGCUGAGGCGCGAAAGCGUGGGGAGCAAACAGG
Molecule: ribosomal RNA, 253 nt
Filed under: uncultured bacterium
Lineage: Bacteria
Description: partial 16S ribosomal RNA
Rfam family: Bacterial small subunit ribosomal RNA
Source: RNAcentral